RNAcentral lists this ribosomal RNA (493 nucleotides) under uncultured bacterium. Its description in RNAcentral is "bacterial SSU rRNA". It matches the Rfam family "Bacterial small subunit ribosomal RNA", at positions 29 to 494 of the family's 1533-position model. The record is from RNAcentral.
AACGAACGCUGGCGGCGUGGAUAAGACAUGCAAGUCGAACGCUGACUUGAGGGUAGCAAUAUUCUCAAGUCGGAGUGGCGAAAGGGUGCGUAACACGUGGGCAAUCUGCCAUGAAGUUGGGGAUAACUUGCUGAAAGGCGAGCUAAUACCGAAUGUGGAUCUCGAAAGGCAUCUUGUGAGAUCUAAAGCUGGGGACCGUAAGGCCUGGCGCUUCUUGUUGAGCCCGCGGCCUAUCAGCUAGUUGGUGAGGUAACGGCUCACCAAGGCUAAGACGGGUAGCUGGUCUGAGAGGACGACCAGCCACACUGGAACUGAGACACGGUCCAGACACCUACGGGUGGCAGCAGUCGAGAAUUUUUCUCAAUGGGCGAAAGCCUGAAGGAGCGACGCCGCGUGGGGGAUGAAUGGCUUCGGCCCGUAAACCCCUGUCAUUUGCGAACAAACCUCGUCAUUUAAUAGAUGACGGGCUGAUUGUAGCGAAAGAGGAAGGGAC